This 396-nucleotide ribosomal RNA is filed under the name Tantilla melanocephala (black-headed snake). RNAcentral describes it as "partial 12S ribosomal RNA". The record is from RNAcentral. Lineage: Eukaryota; Metazoa; Chordata; Lepidosauria; Squamata; Colubridae.
AUUGUUCGCCAAAUAACUACGAGUAAAGACUUAAAACUUAAAAGACUUGACGGUAUCUCACAACAACCUAGAGGAGCCUGUCAAAUAACCGAUACCCCACGAUUAACCCCACCCACUCUAGCCAAACAGUCUAUAUACCGCCGUCGCCAGCCCACCUUAUGAAAGAAACAAAGUGGGCCAAACAACCACCACGCUAAUACGACAGGUCGAGGUGUAACUUAUGAGUGGGGCCAUGAUGGGCUACAUUUUCUAAGACAGAAAAUACGAAUAAACUAUGAAACAAGAACCUGAAGGCGGAUUUAGCAGUAUAUCAAGAAUAAAACACUUAAUAGAAACAUGCAAUGAGAUGCGUACACACCGCCCGUCAUCCCUGUCAAUCUUAACAAAAAUUCAUAA